Non-coding RNA from Podarcis lilfordi (Lilford's wall lizard), 79 nucleotides. The record is from the annotation of a GenBank genome assembly. NCBI's taxonomy places the organism in Eukaryota, Metazoa, Chordata, Lepidosauria, Squamata, Lacertidae.
GGAGAAAGACUGUAGCUCAGUGGUAGAGCAUAUGCUUUGUAUUCAGAAGGUCUCAAGUUCAAUCCCUGGAAUCUCUCCA